Molecule: ribosomal RNA, 750 nt
Filed under: uncultured bacterium
Lineage: Bacteria
Description: bacterial SSU rRNA
Rfam family: Bacterial small subunit ribosomal RNA
Source: RNAcentral
CCGGAGCUUGCUCCACCGAAAGAAAAGGAGUGGCGAACGGGUGAGUAACACGUGGGUAACCUNCCCAUCAGAAGGGGAUAACACUUGGAAACAGGUGCUAAUACCGUAUAACAAUCGAAACCGCAUGGUUUUGAUUUGAAAGGCGCUUUCGGGUGUCGCUGAUGGAUGGACCCGCGGUGCAUUAGCUAGUUGGUGAGGUAACGGCUCACCAAGGCCACGAUGCAUAGCCGACCUGAGAGGGUGAUCGGCCACAUUGGGACUGAGACACGGCCCAAACUCCUACGGGAGGCAGCAGUAGGGAAUCUUCGGCAAUGGACGAAAGUCUGACCGAGCAACGCCGCGUGAGUGAAGAAGGUUUUCGGAUCGUAAAACUCUGUUGUUAGAGAAGAACAAGGAUGAGAGUAACUGUUCAUCCCUUGACGGUAUCUAACCAGAAAGCCACGGCUAACUACGUGCCAGCAGCCGCGGUAAUACGUAGGUGGCAAGCGUUGUCCGGAUUUAUUGGGCGUAAAGCGAGCGCAGGCGGUUUCUUAAGUCUGAUGUGAAAGCCCCCGGCUCAACCGGGGAGGGUCAUUGGAAACUGGGAGACUUGAGUGCAGAAGAGGAGAGUGGAAUUCCAUGUGUAGCGGUGAAAUGCGUAGAUAUAUGGAGGAACACCAGUGGCGAAGGCGACUCUCUGGUCUGUAACUGACGCUGAGGCUCGAAAGCGUGGGGAGCAAACAGGAUUAGAUACCCUGGUAGUCCACGCCG